Molecule: long non-coding RNA, 12822 nt
Filed under: Lactuca sativa (garden lettuce)
Lineage: Eukaryota; Viridiplantae; Streptophyta; Magnoliopsida; Asterales; Asteraceae
Description: long non-coding RNA (LSAT_LNC001097)
Source: RNAcentral
GAAUCUUAAGGAAUCGGUGAGUCAAGGGCGAGUGGACUCAGAGUCGUUGAACUCGGCGAGUCUUGGGGUGACUCGGCGAGUUAGGUCGCGGGUUAAGUGAAGUUCUGAGUAUGGGGACUCGGCGAGUCAUAGGGUUGACUCGACGAGUAGGGUCAGUCAGGGGUUGACUUUGACCUUGUCUUUGACCAAGGAUUGACCAGUGGUUCCAGGGGUAUUUUGGUAAUUGUUGUUUAUUGUUUGAGUUCAGUGCAUUGGUGGCUGUCCAGAGGUGGAGAUCGUAUCAGUGAUCGGAGCAGCUUGAGCUAUCUGUUCAGUCGGCAGUUUCGAGGUGAGUUAUCCUCACUAUAUCGCUAGGGUUUAUGGCGCCAAGGCCGACCCUUUUUAUCGGAUGGAAAUCCGGGUAGUUGUCAUUAUAUGUUACAGGCCGGAAGGCAUUACUAUGUGGACCGGAAGGUCAUGGCCUGGAAAGGCGUAUGUAUGCAUUUAGUAUGUUGACUGAUUCAUAGGGUAAUGUUAUGAUAGUGACCGGCUAGACCGGUAUCUUGUUAGAGUAAUGCUAUGAUAUGUGAUCUGUUGAUCGAUUGUUGUCUAUGAACUGCUAUAUGAUUAUUUGUUAUGUUAUAUAUGCAUUUUAUGCUUAUGGGCCGGAAGGCAAUAUGUUAUGGGCCGGAAGGCAAUAUGUUAUGGGCCGGAAGGCGAUAUGUUAUGGGCCGGAAGGCGUAUAUGUGGUUGGUAUUCUGGGGGUAUCUCACUAAGCUUUCGGGCUUACAGUUGUGGUUUUAUGUUUCAGGUUCUCAAGAGUCUGUGGCAAGGCAAAGGCGUGAUCGUACCGUUCCUCGCGUUGGUGUUUUAUGAUAUGAACCUGGGAAAUUACUCUGUUUAAUAAUGUAUUGAAAACCUUUUUGCAACAAUGUUAAUAAAAUGGGUGAUUUUGAAAAGUUUUAAUUGUUUUGAAAUUUUGGAUGUUACAAGUUGGUAUCAGAGCCUUGGUUUGAGUGAAUUGGGGAAACAUUCGUGUGACUCCAGUCUCAAAUCGAGGAGGAUUUUAAAAAGAGAAAUUAAAAUGAGAAAUUAAAAUGGUUUUCAAAUUUGGUAAAAGGAGGACGCGGAGGUACGAUCAGCCGGAGCCAGUAAGUAACCCCAAGAUACCAUACAUGAUAUUUGUUUAUUUGAGCUUGAUAGCACAGCAUGCUAGAGUUAGGCUAGGGAUCUUCAGGAAUUCAUGAUAAUGUUGCCUGAUAUGUGAUGCCUGUAGCCUAGGGUCCCUUAUGGGAUGUUCUCAGUGUUCCUCUAGUGGUGAGGGUUGAUAGUUGUUAUGCAUGUUCCCUAGGGUAUUGUGGUAGUACUUCAUACAAAUAUGGGUAGGUGUGGAAGGUAGUAUGGGCCCGUACUACUGAAAGCACAGGACCCAUACGCGUAUCAGGGAAACCAUGGUCUCUAGGGUAGGGUUGCGAGAGUUGGAUCCCAGGAUUUUGGGAAGUGUCUGAGAUUGGUAGGGUGUCUUCAGUAUGGAGAUUUCGAGGCAUGAUGAUAGUGGAUCCGGAUCAGGAUCGGGAGCUGGAGAGCGAGUUCCGGGUGGAUCGGUGCCGUCGGAGGUUAUCGAUCGGACGAGCACGAGCGAGCGGGAUGCGAGGAUUCGCGAGAUCCUGCGUGAUGAGGUUGCUGCAUUGUUACGGGCUGAGUUGCCAGAAUGGUUUGGGUCGAUCAGGACCGCCAUGGUUGAGUAGUUUGAUGAGCGAUAUGCGGCUCUCGCAGAGACGGCUGCCGCGGCGGUUACAGCGGCUGUAGCAACGGCAAAGGGAAGACCUAGUCGGGGUUUCGGUAUCGGAACUUCUAUUAUACGAAGCCUCCCACAUCCGAGGGAGUUCAGGACCCGAUUGUUGCUAUGAGAUGGUUAUCAGACGUGGAGGGGUAUUUCUCCACGAGUUUAUGCCCUGCUGAUCAGAGGGUGAGGUGUGCUCUGAACCUAUUGAGGCUAGGAGCGAAGGAUUGGUGGAGAUUGACUACGAGGUCAUUUUCCGAUGCGCAGAGGGCUGCGGUUUCAUGGGAUCAAUUCAGAGAGAUGUUCAGUACUCGCUAUGUUCCGCGGGAUGAAAAGGAGAGAUUGGCUCGGGAGUUCCUUGAGCUGAAGCAGGAUUUGGAGUCGGUGACUGAGAUCACCAGGAUGUUUAUUGAGAGGGCGAUGUUUUGCCCUGAGUUCGCUUCGGAGCAGGCUCAGAUGUCCCGAUAUCUGAGUAUGCUCAAGGGGGAUAUCAGACAGUUCGUGUCUGCGCAGAGGUGCGAGACCUUGUUGGUGUUGCAGGAGGCCGCCAUGCGGCGUGAGUUAGAGGUUGAGUUGCAGUUGCGUGAGCUGAGGCAGGCUCCGAUGCAGUCGCAGUCGGCGCCGAAACGGUCCAGGACCGUAGACGUUAGAAUGGGGGAUCGGAGCGGUCACACUUGUGGGAAGUGUGAGAGAGAUGGCACCGGAGCUUGUUGGCCCAGUGGUGCAUGCCGCAAGUGCGGAAAGGAGGGGCACGGUGCACGGGAUUGUCGGCAGUCAGUGCCAAUUCGGGAUUUCAGGAUUUGUUAUCAGUGUCGGCAGGUUGGACAUUUGAGGGUCAACUGUCCACAGCUUUCUGCAGGACCGGUGCAGGCUCUAGCACCGGCCACCUUGAGGAGUUCAGGAGGAGGACAGGAUGGAGCGGAGCCCCAAGGGCUCAGGGUCGUGCUUAUCGGCUUGCGGCAGAGGGAGACGGAGCAGUGCCGGAGGCAGCUGCGGGUAUGAUGCUUUCUUGAUGUCUUGAUUGUCUUGCGUUGAUUGUGGCGUAUUGUUUGUGCUGGUAUCUGGUGUGGAUUUCGAUGCGGUAUUCGUUGUUUCGCGGGUUUGGCAUGGUUAUGGAUUGGUGCUUCAGGUUUUCGCUUGGCAUUCGUUGUUCCCUGAUGGUUUAGUAUGAUUAUAGUUUGGUGUUUUGGUACCGGUAGCCUUGUGCGGUUUUCGAUGCGAUAUUCAACCUUUGGCAGGUUGUGGGUUUGGUUAUGGGUUAUUGCUUGGGAAUUCCGUUGGUCAUCGUUCGUGAGGGUUGAUAGUGGAGAUGCGGCACUGGGUUGAAUGACGGGUAGCAUCUGCAGUUGUGGAGUGGAUAAUUGAAAGAUCGGAUUCUUUUGAGCGGAUUGAUCAGGGAGGAGAUGUGUUUUGCUGAGGGUUGCUUAUGCUUGUGGGAAGCAGUCAGUGGGUAAAUGUUCUCUUUGUGCAGGAUUGUUCUGAAAGGUCGUUAAUGACGAUCGGUGGCAGUUAGUCAGUGCUUUAGUGGGGGAGAAUUGUAAAAUUCUCCGGGAGAUCGAUGAGUAUGUAAGGGUGCUUAGCUGUUGGGAUUCAGCAGUGUUUGUCAGCGCAAAGUAUAGGCCGACGAGAGCGAGUGUUGAGUAUGCGGGGCGAGAUACAGACCUAGGGCAUUUGAUUGUGGAGGCCUGAGAGGAGGUCGGGAUCAAGCUUGAGUAAGUAAUCGGAAUUUUGCGAUCAGAGUAUUGGUACGUUUGAGGUACGUGAUGGGUUGUACUGCAUUAAUCCCACGGGAUUAUGUUGUGCAUGUUUCUAGAGCUGGAACCGGAAGGUUCCCAGAGUUAGAACCUGAGGGUUCGCAGAGUUUGGGUGUACGGACCCACAGAGAUAUAGCCUCGAGUGGCUAGUAUGUGUUAUGAGAGUCGGUCCAGUCAUACUGGAGACUCUGUUGGUAUUGCUGGAUUAGUUUGAGAUUUGCGGAUCGCGUAUGUUGCAGUGUGAUUGCAUUGGAAGGUCUGGCCCCGGGUUAUUGAUCUUGUUUAGCGGAGGCAGUGAUUUUGAUGAGUGGAGAGAGUGCAUGGGAUUGAGAGCCCCUGCAAUGAGAACCAGAGUAUGUGAAUAGCAGUUACGCAAAAAGGGUGGUGUCGCUUGGGGCGAGCACCGUGGCACCGGUUGGAGUGGCAUUAUGUUCAAGAGAGUUCCGUGGAAAAGGAAAAGAGGAGGGUAUGUAACUCCGAAGGGGGUGCAAGUUCACGAAAGUGAAAGCUGCAGAGCAGAGUUAUGGUUAGAGUAUUUCGAGUAUGGUUUUGAGCAUCGUGUUCGCGGCAGUGGAGUAGGAACCCAUCCGGUUGGGAUGUCUGUUGAGGCUCAGAAGGGAUGCAUGGAGAGAGAAAAUUUUAAAUUCUCAGUGUGAAUCUGAUCAGAGUGUAGGGUGGAUGUAGUGGUUCAUCUUGGGAGAUGUUCGAGGAUAUCAUCAGUGUAUCGGGUCUUCCAACCUGCGGGUGUUGGGACUAGUUCAGUAUGUGUAUGUGAUGGCAAGAGGGAACUUGUGAGAGUUGAUCUGAGAGGGAGAACGGAUCUCUCAGUCGGUCCGGAAUGGGCAAAGUGGGCUUUGGAUCGGGGAUCCGGUGGUUCAGGGUUUCCUAACCCUUAUGGGUUGAGUGAUCGUUGAGAUUUGGAGCAGAGUGCAUCUUGGGUAAUUUCCGAUUACAGAGAGUGAUGAGCAGUUCAGAGUUCGUACUUUAGUUGACAAAGCAGACUCAGCAGGUUAAAGAGAGUUAGUGAUCGUCUAGAGUUAACAGGAAAGUUAUGCAGGCAGACGCCGUUACGAGCAUGUGAUUCAGGUCAGCGACUUCGUAUUUCUGACGGGGUGCUUCGAUUUAGGAAGAGGGGUAAAUGGGGGGCCCCGGUAUGUUGGGUCUUUUCGUGAAGGUGCGAAGGUAGGAAGGGUGGCCUAUCGUUUGGAGCUGUCAACGGAAUUGGGACGGAUCCAUGACACUGGUAUGUGUCGCAGUUGAAGAGGUGUAUAGCGGAUGAGUCAGCAGUGGUUCUACUAGAGAACGAUUAGGUGGAUGCGAGCCUGUGUUACGUCGAGAGGCCAGUGGCCGUCGGAGAUCGGAAGAUCAAGGUUCUGAGGAACAAGGAGGUACCUCUGGUAUUGGUUCAGUAGCGGCCUCGGAAGAGAUCGGUGGUGUCUAGGGAAGCCGAAACGUGAGAUGCGGGAGCAGCAGCCAGAGCUAUUUUCAGAGUGAGACUUCGAGGGCGAAGUCUAAUUCUAGUGGGGGAGAAUUGUAACAGCCCAAAAUCUCAAGUAUUGUUAAGUUGCAUUUUGGGGGUGUUUUAAAGGGGAGACUCGACGAGUUGGAGCCAGACUCGCCGAGUAGGGUCGCAGGUUUGGUCGCGGGUUCACGACUGGACUCGACGAGUCCAGAUAUGGACUCGGCGAGUCGACGCUGUUCAGCGGAAACCCUAGCCGUUCAGUAUUGGGUCGUAUAUAAGGGUUAUUAUGCCGUCAUUUCACGACUUUGGAUCGAUUGGGAAGAACCCUAGGCGACUGGGGCGGCUAGAGCAAGCUUGAAGGCCAUUGGUGACCUUGAAGGAAUUGUUGUGCAAGGAGGAGAAGGGUUUUAGCUAAAGGAACUGCAGGGAGUUCGAGUUCUGAAGUUUGGGGACAUGGAAGGUACAUCAUUCAGGUAAUAAUUCGGAUUACAUUCUCCUGUGAUUGAUGUGUAUAUAGAUUUAGGGUUUAUGGAACCCAUUUGGAGUCUAGAUGGAUUGUUGUGUUGUUAUUCAACGUUUAUAACCUUGUAUUAGGACCCUUAGAGGUCCAGAAGGUCCCAUGUUUGUAUAUUCGAGAAUAUAUGUAUCUCAGGAAGCAGUUCGAUCGACUGCAUGGCGUAGACUCGCCGAGUCGGAUGAUCAGACUCGGCGAGUAGCUUGAAGAUUCACUGGGACUCGCCGAGUUUGUUCUUCAGGCUCGGCGAGUAGAGUCGGGGUGGCCCCGCGAUUCUUCCACGAGGACCUCGUCGAGUCAAGAGGGAUACUCGACGAGUAGAAAGGGAUCAUGCAGGAAUUGGUGAGGACGACUAGACUCGCCGAGUCGCCAGGGUACUCGCCGAGUCCAGUCGAGAUGGCCGUUGACCAGAGUUGACCUGUGUGUAACGUUUUAGGGUCAGUUAACGUGGAAGAUAGAAGUAUUAAAAAGAGAUAUAUGAUGAGACAGGGAGCUUGUAGCUCGGAGGAUCAAGUGCAAGAGAUUUCAGGAGUUGCUAUCUUCCAGUGUCCGCGAGGUGAGUCUUCUCACUAUACUGUACCCGGAAGGGUUUGACUGUGUGACCGGAAGGUCGGAUAUGAUAUGUGAUAUGUAUGCUAUAUGUGGUAAGUUAUUUGUUAUAUGUGCUAUGUAUGUUAUGGGCCGGAAGGCGAUUAUAUUAUGGGCCGGAAGGCAAUAUGUUAUGGGCCGGAAGGCGAUAUGAUGUGUGAUGGACCGGAAGGUCGGCGUGGGUAAGGCCGGAAGGUUUACCCAGCAGGGACGGAAGUCCCCUGAGACACAUGGACCGGAAGGUCGGGCCUGGAAAGGCGUAUGUGCGUAAGUUGUAUAUUGGGGAACUCACUAAGCUUCGUGCUUACAGUAUUUAUGUUAUGUUGUUUCAGGUUCUUUCAGUAACGCGGAAUGGCAUCGGCUCGAUUGUACACACCGAGGAAAGAGUUGUAUUUUGGAGGAUCCUGGUUGUCUAUUCAAAUGAAAAUGGAACUAUGUUUUGUAAUUCGAAUAUGAAUAAGAUUUUAAACAAGUGUUUUAAUAUUAAAUUGAUUAUUUAAAUGAAAAAUUUUGCUUUGAAAAUCACGGUGUUACAAUUGGUAUCAGAGCCUUGGUUUGAGGGAUUCGGACGCGCCUACGGGUGAGUCUGGACUCAAACUGAGGAAUUAAGAAAAGGUUUUCAAAUAAAUAGUUUUCUAAAAGUGAAUAAGAGUUCAAAGAGAAAGCAAGAAAGAGCAGUGUGUACAAUCAGCCAGAGCCAAACGGUGAUUUCCCAAAAUACCCUUACUUUUGUAUUAUGAAAUAUCUAUUAUGCACUUUAUGAGACAUUAUUGCAUGCUAGAGACAGGCUAGGUAUUUCACAUCUUAGGACUAGAGUGGCCUGAUUUGUGAUGCCUUAGUCUAGGGUUUGCUGUUAUAUGUGCGUUAUGCUUUUGUGUGUAUGUGAUGAGUGAGAGUAUCUAGUUAGAACGCACAAGGGGUAAAGCUACGGGGUACAGAGGUACUUCCGAGGAUGAGCCGAGAAGGUGGAGCUACCACAGAUGGGGAGUCCUAUGUAUGCUUCAAUGCUCGAAUGCUGCUUGCUUUGUGCUUUGUGGAGUUAUCGAUGAUGGGAGUCAGCUACUAAGUGAGUAUGACGAUACUCAGGAGGUAGAGGGCUGGCAUCAUUAGGAACUCUUCAGCAGCUGAUAGCAAAGAAGUGGGAGGACAGCGGAAGGGACUAGGGAGUAAACCUAGCCAGAUGAGUGCGCUGGUAGAGUAGAGGAUUUCGCUGGAAAGCGAGCACGCGCGAUGAGAUGGGUGAAAGAGCAGGUUUAUCAGCUACUUAGGAACUCUGGGAUGGUCCGUGUGGAAAGUAUGGGUAGAUGUGGCAGGUAGUAUGGGCCCGUACUACUGAAAGCAGAGGACCCAUACUUGAUACAGGGGGCAUUCUGAAGGUCCUAAGGAACAGAUUGAGGGGUGAUGUUAUGGUUCGGAUACCAUACAUCGGAGCGGAUACAGAGUGAUGUUAUGGUCCGGGCACCAUACAUCGGAACAGAUUGAGAUAGAUGUUGUGGUCCGAGUGCUAUACAUUGGAGCAGAUUGAGGAGUGGUGCUAUGGUUCAGGUACCAUACACCGAAGCAUGUUGAGGAGGGAUGUCAUGGGAUGAGUACCAUGGUUCGUAGUGGAUGAUGCUUGUGGCUAUCUUGUUAUCCGGUUAUCGAUCGGACGAGCACGAGCGAGCGGGAUGCGAGGAUUCGCGAGAUCCUGCGUGAUGAGGUUGCUGCAUUGUUGCGGGCUGAGUCGCCAGAAUUGUUUGGGUCGAUCAGGACCACUAUGAUUGAAGUAGUUUGAUGAGCGAUAUGCGGCUUUCGCAGAGACGGCUGCCGCGGCGGUUACAGCGGCUGUAGCAACGGCAAAGAAAGGGGCUAGUCGGGGUUUUCAGUAUCGGGACUUCUAUUAUGCGAAGCCUCCCACAUUCGAUGGAGUUCAGGACUCGAUUGUUGCUAUGAGAUGGUUAUCAGACAUGGAGGGGUGUUUCUCCACGAGUUUAUGCCCUGCUGAUCAGAGGGUGGGGUGUGCUCUGAACCUGUUGAGGCUCGGGGCGAAGGAUUGGUGGAGAUUGACCACGAGGUCAUUUUCCGAUGCGCAGAGGGCUGCGGUUUCAUGGGAUCAAUUCAGAGGGAUGUUCAGUACUCGCUAUGUUCCGCGGGAUGAAAAGGAGAAAUUGGCUCGGAAGUUCCUUAAGCUGAAGCAGGAUUUGGAGUCGGUGACUGAGAGCACCGGGAUGUUUAUUGAGAGGGCGAUGUUUUGCCCUGAGUUCGCUUCGGAGCAGGCUCAGAUGUCCCGAUAUCCGAGUAUGCUCAAGGGGGGGUAUCAGACAGUUCGUGUCUGCGCAGAGGCGCGAGACCGUGUUGGUAUCGCAGGAGGCCGCCAUGUGGCGUGAGUUAGAGGUUGAGUUGCAGUUGCGUGAGAUGAGGCAGGCCCCGAUGCAGUCGCAGUCGGCGCCGAAACGGUCCAUGACCGUAGACGUUAGAAUGGGGGAUCGGAGCGGUCACACUUGUGGGAAGUGUGAGAGAGAUGGCACCGGAGCUUGUUGGCCCAGUGGUGCAUGCCGCAAGUGCGGAAAGGAGGGGCAUGGUGCACGGGAUUGUCGGCAGUCAGUGCCAAUUCGGGAUUUCAGGAUUUGUUAUCAGUGUCGGCAGGUUGGACAUUUGAGGGUCAACCGUCCACAGUUUCCUGCAGGACCGGUGCAGGCUCUAGCAUCGGCCACCUUGAGGAGUUCAGGAGGAGGACAGGAUGGAGCAGAGCCCAAGGGCUCAGGGUCGUGCUUAUCGGCUUGCGGCAGAGGGAGACGGAGCAGUGCCGGAGGCAGCUGCGGGUAUGAUGCUCUCUUGAUGUCUUGAGUAGCUUGCGUUGAUUGUGGCGUAUUGUUUGUGCUGGUGUCUGGUGUGGAUUUCGAUGCGGUAUUCGUUGUUUCGCGGGUUUGGCAUGGUUAUGGAUUGGUGCUUCAGGUUUUCGCUUGGCAUUCGUUGUUCCCUGAUGGUUUAGUAUGAUUAUAGUUUGGUGUUUUGGUACCGGUAGCCUUGUGCGGUUUUCGAUGCGAUAUUCAACCUUUGGCAGGUUGUGGGUUUGGUUAUGGGUUAUUGCUUGGGAAUUCCGUUGGUCAUCGUUCGUGAGGGUUGAUAGUGGAGAUGCGGCACUGGGUUGAAUGACGGGUAGCAUCUGCAGUUGUGGAGUGGAUAAUUGAAAGAUCGGAUUCUUUUGAGCGGAUUGAUCAGGGAGGAGAUGUGUUUUGCUGAGGGUUGCUUACGCUUGUGGGAAGCAGUCAGUGGGUAAAUGUUCUCUUUGUGCAGGAUUGUUCUGAAAGGUCGUUAAUGACGAUCGGUGGCAGUUAGUCAGUGCUUUAGUGGGGGAGAAUUGGAGAAUUCUCCGGGAGAUCGAUGAGUAUGUGAGGGUGCUUAGCUGUUGGGAUUCAGCAGUGUUUGUCAGCGCAGAGUAUAGGCCGACGAGAGCGAGUGUCGGGUAUGCGGGGCGGGAUACAGACCUAGGGCAUUUGAUUGUGGAGGCCUGAGAGAAGGCCGGGAUCAAGCUUGAGUAAGUAACCGGGGUUAUGCGAUCAGAGUAUUGGUAUGUUUGAGGUACGUGAUGGGUUGUACUGCAUUAAUCCCACGGGAUUAUGUUGUGCAUGUUUCUAGAGCUGGAACCGGAAGGUUCCCAGAGUUAGAACCUGAGGGUUCGCAGAGUUUGGGUGUACGGACCCACAGAGAUAUAGCCUCGAGUGGCUAGUAUGUGUUAUGAGAGUCGGUCCAGUCAUGCUGGAGACUCUGCUGGUAUUGCUAGAUCAGUUUGAGGUUGCGGAUUGUGUAUGUUGCAAUGUGAUUGCAUUGGAAGGUCUGGCCCCGGGUUAGUAAUAUUGUUUAGCUGAGGCAGUGAUUUUGAUGAGUGGAGAGAGUGCAUGGGAUUGAGAGCCCCUGCAAUGAUAACCAGAGUAUGUGAAUAGCGGUUUUGAAAAAGGGUGGCGUCGCUUGGGGCAAGCACCGUGGCACCGGUGGGAGUGGCAUUAUGGCCAAGAGGGUCCCUUGGAAGGAAAAGAGAAAGGUGUGUAACUCCGAAGGGGAGUGCAGGUUCACAAGAGUGAAAGCUACAGAGCAGAGUUAUGGUUAAAGUAUUUCGAGUAUGGCUUCGAGCAUCAUGUUCGCGGCAGCGAAGUAGGAACCCAUCCGGUUUGGGGAUGUCUGUUGAGGCUCAGAAGGGAUGCAGGGGGAGAGAGAAUCUUAAAUUCUCAGUGUGAUUCUGAUCAGAGUGUAGGGUGGAUGUAGUGGUUCAUCUUGGGAGAUGUUCGAGGAUAUCAUCAGUGUAUCGGGUCUUCCAACCUGCGGGUGUUGGGGCUAGUUCAGCAUGUGUAUGUGAUGGCAAGAGGAGAACUUGUGAGAGUUGCUCUGAGAGUGAGAAUGGAUCUCUCAGUCGGUCCGGAAUGGACAAAGUGGGCUUUGGAUCGGGGAUCCGGUGGUUCAUGGUUUCCUAACCCUUAUGGGUCGAGUGAUUGUUGAGAUUUAGAGCAGAGUUGCAUCUUGGGUAAUUCUCGGUUACAGAGAGCGAUGGACAGUACAGAGAUCGGGCUUCAGUCGACAGAGCAGAUUCAGCAGAUGAGACAGAGGUUAUUGACCGCCCAGAGCCGACAGGAAAGUUAUGCAGACAGACGCCGGUCCGAGCUUGAGUUUCAGGUCGGUGACUUCGUACUCCUGAAGGCCUCUCCUUGGAGAGGAGUGAUUCGAUUCAAGAAGAGGGGCAAGUUGGGGCCCCGGUAUAUUGGGCCUUUUCAUGUGAUUGCGGGGGUAGGCCUGAGGGUCUACCGGUUGGAGUUGCCCACGGAUUUGAGACAAAUCCACGAUAUUUUUCAUGUGUCGCAAUUGAGGAAGUAUAUAGCCGAUGAGUCGGCAGUGGUUCCAUUAGAAGACAUUCAGGUGGAUGCAAGCCUGAAUUAUGCCGAGAAGCCAGUGGUCGUCAGAGAACGGAAGAUCGAGGUUCUGAGGAACAAGGAGAUACCUCCGGUGUUAGUUCAGUGGCAGCACCGGAGGGGAUCGGAAAUGAACUGUGAUCUGGAACGUGAUAUGUGGGAGCAGCAUCCGGGGCUAUUUUCAGAGUGAGACUUCGAGGGCGAAGUCUAGUUCUAGUGGGGGAGAGUUGUAACAGCCCGGAAUUCCAAAUAUUGAUAUAAUUAUGAUUUUGGGGGUGUUUUAAGAGGGGACUCGGCGAGUUGGAGCCUAGACUCGCCGAGUAGGAUCGCAGACCGGGUCGCGGGUUCGCGACUGGACUCGACGAGUCCAGAUAUGGACUCGGCGAGUCUGCGCUGUUUGGCGAAAACCCUAACCGUUCAGGUUUGGGACGUAUAAGAGGCACUUAUUGGCCGUCAUUGUUCAUUUUGGCCUUCUGAGAAGAACCCUAAAUCGAUUGGGUGCAUCUGGAGCAAAGUUUAAGGGCCAUUGUUGAUCUUGGAAGGGUUGUGGUGCAAGGAAGAGAAGGGCUUGGCUAAAGGAACAGCAAGGGAGUCACGUUCUGAGGAUUUGGGGACACAGAGGGCACAUUAUUCAGGUAAGAAUUCGAAUUAUGCUCUGCUAUGUUGAUGUGUCAUGGAAUUAGGGUUUAUGGAACCCCUUUGUGAUUAGAUUAAGUGUUACCCUUGUUCCCCAAACGACUAUAACCCUGUAUUAGGACCUUAGAGGUCCAGAAGGUCCCAUGCUUGUGUAUUUCGGGACAAUACUUAUCUCAGGAAGCAGUUUGAUCGACUGCAUGGCAUGGACUCGACGAGUCCGAUGAACAGACUCGGCGAGUAGCUUGAAGAAUAACUGGGACUCGUCGAGUUGUUCUUCAGACUCGGCGAGUUGAGUCGGGGUGGCCCCGCGAUUCUUCCAGGAGGAACUCGUCGAGUAAAAAGGGGAUACUCGACGUGUAGAAAGGGAAUCUUAAGGAAUCGGUGAGUCAAGGGCGAGUGGACUCAGAGUCGUUGAACUCGGCGAGUCUUGGGGUGACUCGGCGAGUUAGGUCGCGGGUUAAGUGAAGUUCUGAGUAUGGGGACUCGGCGAGUCAUAGGGUUGACUCGGCGAGUAGGGUCAGUCAGGGGUUGACUUUGACCUUGUCUUUGACCAAGGAUUUACCAGUGGUUCCAGGGGUAUUUUGGUAAUUGUUGUUAUUGUUUGAGUUCAGUGCAUUGGUGACUAUCCAGAGGUGGAGAUCGUAUCAGUGAUCGGAGCAGCUUGAGCUAUCUGUUCAGUCGGCAGUUUCGAGGUGAGUUAUCCUCACUAUAUCGUUAGGGUUUAUGGCACCAAGGCCGACCCUUUUUACCGGAUAGAAAUCCGGGUAGUUGUCAUUAUAUGUUACAGGCCGGAAGGCAUUACUAUGUGGACCGAAAGGUCAUGGCCUGGAAAGGCGUAUGUAUGCAUUUAGUACGUUGACUGAUUCAUAGGGUAAUGUUAUGAUAGUGACCGGCUAGACCGGUAUCUUGUUAGAGUAAUGCUAUGAUAUGUGAUCCGUUGAUCGAUGGUUGUCUAUGAACUGCUAUAUGAUUGUUUGUUAUGUUAUAUAUGUAUUUUAUGCUUAUGGGCCGGAAGGCAAUAUGUUAAGGGCCGGAAGGCGAUAUGUUAUGGGCCGGAAGGCAAUAUGUUAUGGACCGGAAGGUCAGGGCCUGGAAAGGCGUAUAUGUGGUUGGUAUUCUGGGGGUAUCUCACUAAGCUUUCGGGCUUACAGUUGUGGUUUUAUGUUUCAGGUUCUCAAGAGUCUGUGGCAAGGCCAAGGCAUGAUCGUACCGUUCCACGCGUUGGU